Molecule: long non-coding RNA, 91 nt
Organism: Sapajus apella (tufted capuchin)
Lineage: Eukaryota; Metazoa; Chordata; Mammalia; Primates; Cebidae
Exons: 3
Source: RefSeq, a predicted model, not a curated record
CAAUAGAGAAUAUACUCAAGAAAUUAAAAAUAGAACUACCAUAUGACCAGCAAUCCCUCUUCUGGGCACACACCCGAAGGAGAUGAAAUCA